Molecule: non-coding RNA, 21 nt
Filed under: Caenorhabditis elegans
Lineage: Eukaryota; Metazoa; Nematoda; Chromadorea; Rhabditida; Rhabditidae
Source: RNAcentral
UUCUUUUUUUAUUUUUCCAUG